AUCAACGCUGGCGGCGUGCCUCAGACAUGCAAGUCGAACGAUUAAAGCUCUCUUCGGAGAGUGUAUAGAGUGGCGCACGGGUGAGUAACACGUAAGUAAUCUACCUUCGAGUGGGAAUAACGUCCGGAAACGGACGCUAAUACCGCAUAAUGCAGCGGCAUCGCAAGAUGACAGUUGUUAAAGAUUUAUCGCUUGAAGAGGAGCUUGCGGCAGAUAGCUAGUUGGUAAGGUAAUGGCUUACCAAGGCUACGAUCUGUAACCGGUCUAAGAGGACGGUCGGUCACACUGACACUGAAUAACGGGUCAGACUCCUACGGGAGGCAGCAGUCGGGAA
Molecule: ribosomal RNA, 334 nt
Filed under: uncultured bacterium
Lineage: Bacteria
Description: bacterial SSU rRNA
Rfam family: Bacterial small subunit ribosomal RNA
Source: RNAcentral